This 253-nucleotide ribosomal RNA is filed under the name uncultured bacterium. RNAcentral's name for it is "partial 16S ribosomal RNA". It matches the Rfam family "Bacterial small subunit ribosomal RNA", at positions 524 to 776 of the family's 1533-position model. The record is from RNAcentral.
UACGUAGGGCGCAAGCGUUGUCCGGAUUUAUUGGGCGUAAAGAGCUCGUAGGCGGUCUGUCGCGUCGGCUGUGAAAACCCGAGGCUCAACCUCGGGCCUGCAGUCGAUACGGGCAGACUAGAGUGUGGCAGGGGAGACUGGAAUUCCUGGUGUAGCGGUGAAAUGCGCAGAUAUCAGGAGGAACACCGGUGGCGAAGGCGGGUCUCUGGGCCGAUAUUGACGCUGAGGAGCGAAAGCGUGGGGAGCAAACAGG